Long non-coding RNA from Bactrocera neohumeralis, 1084 nucleotides. RefSeq lists it as uncharacterized. NCBI's taxonomy places the organism in Eukaryota, Metazoa, Arthropoda, Insecta, Diptera, Tephritidae. The transcript has 3 exons. The record is from RefSeq and is a predicted model, not a curated record.
CGAGCAUUUUGCGGUUGCUAAGCUUAAAUUACAAGAGAGCGAAAUUAGAAUAUAUUUUUGAGACGAGUGGAGUUCGCGAUGGAACCAGACGGCCAACAACAACUGCGCCACUUGAUUGCUAUGGUCAUUUGUUUGGAAGCGUUCUUAAAGAGCCAAAUGGAGCGAUUUCAUGUUGUUGGGAACCAAUUGAGCUAUCUGUUGUAAACAUUUCACAGCACUUUUGAGAUUGCUAAAAUGUUACUAAAAUAAGAAUACGAAUAGGAAAACAGGCAUAAUUAACACAGGGCUGUUGCCUAAUUUCGAAACCAAAUGACAUCUGUGAGGCGUUUAUUUCACAAAUUGACAACUGUGUUCAAAGCGAAGCUGGCAAGAUUUAUCGACAUAUAGAUGUAUAAAGAUUGGGUACCGACGGUACUUUUUGGAGAUAUGGGAAAAGCAGUUCAUUGGAGUUCUACAGACAAACGAUUUGGCUCUCCACUCAAUCAAACUAUUCCACCAAAUAUAUAAUGGCUUUUGCUUUGUUGCUUGUCCUCCGAGUAAAUGACUAUAUUUUCAUAAAUUUUCUUUGGAACAAUUUUCGAAUAUUAUCUGAUUAAAUAUGAUCGCCAAGCUGGAACAUAUCUGCCAACAAAAUCCAAUUUUCAUAAACUUGAAAGACUGGUUUGUCGAUAGUUUUCAAACGAAUGGCGUUUCAAAACCGGUUCCGACGAUGUGAUAACACCGAGCAAAGGCGGGUAUUUUACCCAAUCUUCGAUGUUAGCAUUUUUCGAGCUAAUUGAAUAAUUUCCACAAAGGAUGUCCUAAAAACGAAAUUCUUCGCUGCGCUAUGGCAAAUUGGAUUUGAAAAUCUCUGCCAUAACUUUCACAAUUCAGUGCAGCGGAAUUUGUGAACUGCACUGUGCACAGCAAAUAACGGCAUUAAAAGCAGGAAUUUGACACUAAUAACUACAAAAAUAAUUUUGGCACACAUUUUGAAGCGAGUGCGCCCGAUGUAGCCCGGCAGCAGCAGCAGCAGCCGGCCCAAGCAAAUCAAAUUCAGACACAGAUGGAUAUUGCACAUGCGGCGCCGUAACCCGGUGCAGCA